GAGGAGAGGCUUCGUACUUCCUUCGUAGAAGGAACUUCGUGAGAUUUCGCCGCUUGCUACUAGAAGAUUAAAGGGGAAUCUCUAGCAAUCGAUCGCAUGCCCUUCUGUAUUUGCCUGCUACGCUUUUCCCCCGCGGCAACUGCAAUUUCCAGCGUCUAACUGUAAUCCAUUGCAACUGCAUUCCAUUCUUCCUGACCACGUUUGUAACUCGAAUUUACUUUUGCGCGAUGAUGACAGCGUUGAAAGCGUUUGCCUUUCGUCCCGCAAUAGUCGCCGAGAGCGCUUCGUUGAAUCUGAAGAGUCUUUCAGAACUCCUCUAAUCCCGGAAUCCGGGAAAUCGGUUUUCGAGCGUAAUAAAAAGCGCAAAGGCUAUUUGCGAUAAGGCUUAACGUUUGCCAAUUGAUAGCAACCGAUAAGACCGAAUAUUGAGCAGGCAGGAAGAAACGAUUUCAAUCGUCGCGAAACUGUCGUUUGAGUAAACCGAAGGGACAGCGCGAUAAAUUGUGCCGUCAGAAACGGUGGUAAAUUGUAGCGAAAGAUAACACGUAUCCAGAUAAAUACAUUUGUUGUAAUAUCGUGGAUAUCGACAAAGACCUUUGAAGAGCAAUCGAUUUUUGAAGCAACGGCCGGAUUCUAGAAGAGUCAAAGACAGGGAUCCUUCAAAGAUUUGACGGCAGAUUAGAGGGAAAAAUAGGAUUAUCGAAAAUCGUUUAGGAUCCUGACAAUCGAAGAAUCGCUACAAUGGCUGAAAGAACGCCGGCUCCUGACAGUGAAAAAGUGGAAGAAAUCGCGCCCGAUAAGACGCAAGAGGUCGACGCCAUUUUGGUAGAGACGCCGGUUGUCAUGGAAGACGGAAGCGAAAUUAAAAAUCGAGUCAGAAGGAACAUCAUCACCGUGCCGGAACGAAACGUCGAGAUCGAGAUAGAAGGGACGAGACAUCGUCACGAUACGAAGGGGCGAUUGAGACCUAUAUUGCAUUGAUUAACAUUUCACACGAUACAACGAUACGAGCGGUGUAAUCCUACAAACGUCACAGUGAAAUAUCAUAACAACGUAUGUCGAGAGAUUGGCCAAGCUAUUUGUCCACUUUGCAUCAGAGAAACAAACUCCACCAUCAAUGCGAUUAUCAAUGUAUAUUAUUUAUUAGUUGUUUCAAUGCCAUUAAUUACGCAGCAACUUGCAACUAUAAUAUGUGUGUGUGAGUCCCGAUUUAUCAUAAUAAGAUUUUU
Mycetomoellerius zeteki is the source of this 1229-nucleotide long non-coding RNA. RefSeq lists it as uncharacterized. Lineage: Eukaryota; Metazoa; Arthropoda; Insecta; Hymenoptera; Formicidae. The record is from RefSeq and is a predicted model, not a curated record. The transcript has 3 exons.